ACGGGGCGCAGCAGGCGCGAAACCUUUACACUGCGGGAAACCGCGAUAAGGGGACACCGAGUGCCAGCAUACAAUGCUGGCUGUCCACAUGUGUAAAUAGCAUGUGAUAGCAAGGGCCGGGCAAGACCGGUGCCAGCCGCCGCGGUAACACCGGCGGCCCGAGUGGUAAUCACUAUUAUUGGGUCUAAAGGGUCCGUAGCCGGUUUAAUCAGUCUUCCGGGAAAUCUGACAGCUCAACUGUUAGGCUUCCGGGGGAUACUGUUAGACUUGGGACCGGGAGAGGUAAGAGGUACUACAGGGGUAGGAGUGAAAUCUUGUAAUCCCUGUGGGACCACCAGUGGCGAAGGCGUCUUACCAGAACGGGUCCGACGGUGAGGGACGAAAGCUGGGGGCACGAACCGGAUUAGAUACCCGGGUAGUCCCAGCCGUAAACGAUGCUCGCUAGGUGUCUGGAAUGGUGCGACCGUUUCAGGUGCCGCAGGGAAGCCGUGAAGCGAGCCACCUGGGAAGUACGGCCGCAAGGCUGAAACUUAAAGGAAUUG
This 542-nucleotide ribosomal RNA is filed under the name uncultured Methanohalophilus sp. Its description in RNAcentral is "bacterial SSU rRNA". It matches the Rfam family "Archaeal small subunit ribosomal RNA", at positions 325 to 867 of the family's 1478-position model. Lineage: Archaea; Methanobacteriati; Methanobacteriota; Methanomicrobia; Methanosarcinales; Methanosarcinaceae. The record is from RNAcentral.